Molecule: ribosomal RNA, 497 nt
Filed under: uncultured bacterium
Lineage: Bacteria
Description: partial 16S ribosomal RNA
Rfam family: Bacterial small subunit ribosomal RNA
Source: RNAcentral
GAUGAACGCUGGCGGCGUGCCUAAUACAUGCAAGUCGAGCGAACAGAUAAGGAGCUUGCUCCUUUGACGUUAGCGGCGGACGGGUGAGUAACACGUGGGUAACCUACCUAUAAGACUGGAAUAACUCCGGGAAACCGGGGCUAAUGCCGGAUAACAUUUAGAACCGCAUGGUUCUAAAGUGAAAGAUGGUUUUGCUAUCACUUAUAGAUGGACCCGCGCCGUAUUAGCUAGUUGGUAAGGUAACGGCUUACCAAGGCAACGAUACGUAGCCGACCUGAGAGGGUGAUCGCCCACACUGGAGCUGAAACACGGUCAUGAGUCCUACGGGAGGCAGCAGUAGGGAAUGGUCCGCAAUGGUCGAAAGCCUGGCAGAACAGCGGCGCGUGAGUGGUGACGGUCUUCGGAGCGUAAAGCUGUGUUAUUAGUGGAGAACAGAUGUGUAAGUAACUGUGCAGGUCUUGACGGUACCGAAUAAGAAAGCAACGGCUAACUACGUG